GAUGAAGAACGUAGCGAAAUGCGAUAAGUAAUGUGAAUUGCAGAAUUCCGUGAAUCAUCGAAUCUUUGAACGCACAUUGCGCCCUCUGGUAUUCCGGGGGGCAUGCCUGUCCGAGCGUCAUUUGCAACCCUCAAGCCCGGCUUGUGUGAUGGGUGCCGUCCCCUACGGGACGCGCCCCGAAGGCAAUGGCGGCGUUGCGGUUAUCCGAUCAGCCAAAGUGUAUGGGGCUUUGUCACUCACUUUACGGCCCGGACCGGCGCCAGUCCGAAUCAAUCUUUUUUCUAAAGUUGACCUCGGAUCAGGUAGGGAUACCCGCUGAACUUAAGCAUAUCAAUAAGCGGAGGA
RNAcentral lists this unclassified non-coding RNA (345 nucleotides) under soil metagenome. RNAcentral's name for it is "partial contains 5.8S ribosomal RNA, internal transcribed spacer 2, and large subunit ribosomal RNA". The stretch from base 1 to 120 matches the Rfam family "5.8S ribosomal RNA", at positions 35 to 154 of the family's 154-position model. The record is from RNAcentral.